AGGCGCGUAGCUCAAUGGAAGAGCAUCGGACUUUGACUCCGAGGGUUGCACGUUCGAACCGUGCCGUGCCUG
Molecule: transfer RNA, 72 nt
Filed under: Planctomycetota bacterium
Lineage: Bacteria; Pseudomonadati; Planctomycetota
Description: tRNA-Gln
Rfam family: tRNA
About the family: Transfer RNA (tRNA) molecules are approximately 80 nucleotides in length. Their secondary structure includes four short double-helical elements and three loops (D, anti-codon, and T loops). Further hydrogen bonds mediate the characteristic L-shaped molecular structure. tRNAs have two regions of fundamental functional importance: the anti-codon, which is responsible for specific mRNA codon recognition, and the 3' end, to which the tRNAs corresponding amino acid is attached (by aminoacyl-tRNA synthetases). tRNAs cope with the degeneracy of the genetic code in two manners: having more than one tRNA (with a specific anti-codon) for a particular amino acid; and 'wobble' base-pairing, i.e. permitting non-standard base-pairing at the 3rd anti-codon position.
Source: RNAcentral